CCUACGGGAGGCAGCAGUGGGGAAUAUUGCACAAUGGGGGAAACCCUGAUGCAGCGACGCCGCGUGAGUGAAGAAGUAUUUCGGUAUGUAAAGCUCUGUCAGCAGGGAAGAAAAUGACGGUACCUGACCAAGAAGCCCCGGCCAACUACGUGCCAGCAGCCGCGGUACUACGGAGGGGGCAAGCGUUAUCCGGAUUUACUGGGUGUAAAGGGAGCGUAGACGGCAGGGCAAGUCUGGAGUGAAAGGCGGGGGCUCAACCCCCGGACUGCUCUGGAAACUGGCAGGCUGGAGUGCAGGAGAGGUAGGUGGAAUUCGUAGUGUAGCGGUGAAAUGCGUAGAUAUUAGGAGGAACACCAGUGGCGAAGGCAGCUUACUGGACUGUAACUGACGUUGAGGCUCGAAAGCGUGGGGAGCAAACAGGAUUAGAUACCCCUGUAGUC
RNAcentral lists this ribosomal RNA (440 nucleotides) under uncultured bacterium. RNAcentral's name for it is "partial 16S ribosomal RNA". It matches the Rfam family "Bacterial small subunit ribosomal RNA", at positions 338 to 795 of the family's 1533-position model. The record is from RNAcentral.